UUCAGGUUACAGCCUAUCAUUGUUGGGAAGUCAAGACAGAAGCUUGAAACAGCCAGCUCCUGUAUCAUUCCUGACCAUCCACUGGCCUCACUUCCUACAGGACAGAAGCUAAAUCUGUUUAUGUGUGCUGCUAUCUGACUUUUGCAAUCAAUAGCCACAGGACCAGGGGAAGGGGUAUAUCACCCCAGAGAAUAUGCCUUAGAGGAUCUACAACCCCAACAGAAGAACCCAGGACUACAAUGAGACGAUGCAAGGAAAUUCAGCCUUCAGCAUGAUGUACCAUGUGAAGUUCCUCAGCAGAACCUUCACAGUGUUCUGUCAUUUGUUCAGUCCUGCUUCAUUCCCGCCUGGGCCUCAAGUAACGACGAUUAGUGUAUAUCAUCAUGGUCAGCAGUUCUUGACCCUGGAUUGCAGGGGAUAAUAAAACCUGGCCCUUCUUCCAGCUUUCUCUGGCCUGACACUGAAGAUUUUUGGAACAGACUGAAAGAAUUUGUUAGGUUGUUAGAAAUUCCUAACCUGAGAUGAAGGAAAACGAUGACCCUACAUUUCCUACCUGAAACAAUUCUUCAGGGCUGUUGUUUCAGGAGCUCACAUCUGUAUGUAAGCAUAUUCGUACAACAUGCACA
Molecule: long non-coding RNA, 626 nt
Organism: Meriones unguiculatus (Mongolian gerbil)
Lineage: Eukaryota; Metazoa; Chordata; Mammalia; Rodentia; Muridae
Exons: 3
Source: RefSeq, a predicted model, not a curated record